RNAcentral lists this ribosomal RNA (497 nucleotides) under uncultured bacterium. RNAcentral describes it as "partial 16S ribosomal RNA". It matches the Rfam family "Bacterial small subunit ribosomal RNA", at positions 28 to 507 of the family's 1533-position model. The record is from RNAcentral.
GAUGAACGCUGGCGGCGUGCCUAAUACAUGCAAGUCGAGCGAACAGAUGAGGAGCUUGCUCCUCUGACGUUAGCGGCGGACGGGUGAGUAACACGUGGAUAACCUACCUAUAAGACUGGGAUAACUUCGGGAAACCGGAGCUAAUACCGGAUAAUAUAUUGAACCGCAUGGUUCAAUAGUGAAAGACGGUUUUGCUGUCACUUAUAGAUGGAUCCGCGCCGCAUUAGCUAGUUGGUAAGGUAACGGCUUACCAAGGCAACGAUGCGUAGCCGACCUGAGAGGGUGAUCGGACACACUGGAACUGAAACACGGUCCAGACUCCUACGGGAGGCAGCAGUAGGGAAUCUUCCGCAAUGGGCGAAAGCCUGACGGAGCAACGCCGCGUGAGUGAUGAAGGUCUUCGGAUCGUAAAACUCUGUUAUUAGGGAAGAACAAAUGUGUAAGUAACUAUGCACGUCUUGACGGUACCUAAUCAGAAAGCCACGGCUAACUACGUG